UUUGAGUUGGUGAACCAUGGAAUUCCACAUGAAGUAAUGGACACAGUAGAGAAAAUGACAAAGGGACAUUACAAGAAGUGCAUGGAACAGAGGUUUAAGGAACUAGUGACAAGUAAGGGACUUGAGGCUGUUCAAGCUGAGGUUACUGAUUUAGAUUGGGAAAGCACUUUCUUCUUGCGCCAUCUUCCAACUUCUAAUAUCUCUCAAGUACCCGAUCUUGACGAAGAAUACAGAGAGGUGAUGAGAGAUUUUGCUAAAAGAUUGGAGAAAUUGGCUGAGGAGUUACUUGACUUACUCUGUGAAAAUCUUGGACUUGAAAAAGGUUACUUGAAAAAUGCCUUUUAUGGAUCAAAAGGUCCCAACUUUGGUACUAAAGUUAGCAACUAUCCACCAUGUCCUAAGCCCGAUUUGAUCAAGGGACUCCGCGCUCAUACAGACGCUGGAGGCAUCAUACUUCUGUUCCAAGAUGACAAAGUGAGUGGCCUUCAACUCCUCAAAGACGAGCAAUGGAUCGAUGUUCCUCCCAUGCGCCACUCUAUUGUGGUUAACCUUGGUGACCAACUUGAGGUGAUCACUAACGGGAAGUACAAGAGUGUGCUGCACAGAGUAAUUGCACAAACAGACGGGACACGAAUGUCAUUAGCCUCAUUUUACAAUCCAGGAAGUGAUGCAGUAAUAUAUCCAGCAAAAACUUUGGUUGAAAAAGAGGCAGAGGAAAGUACACAAGUGUAUCCAAAGUUUGUGUUUGAUGAUUACAUGAAGUUAUAUGCUGGACUCAAGUUUCAAGCCAAAGAGCCAAGAUUUGAAGCAAUGAAGGCAAUGGAAAGUGAUCCAAUUGCAAGUGCUUAGAUCCCAAUUCAAUUAAAAAAAUUGGUGUUUGAAAAAUAUAUUUAAAUAUAGCAAUCUAUGUAUACACAUUAUUUGCUCUUCUUAUGUAUGGUAGAAUAAAGUUAGUAUUAAAAAAGAUUGUGAUUUGCUGCAUAUGUAUCAAAAAGAGUCCUAAUAUUUGUAUCUAUAAAUAAGGUGCCUUUUAGUGAAAUUAUACAAAUAAUAAUUUGGAGUGUAUUGUUCUUUCUCAUGUAAUUUUACUUUUAAG
This 1096-nucleotide unclassified non-coding RNA is filed under the name Hevea brasiliensis (rubber tree). Lineage: Eukaryota; Viridiplantae; Streptophyta; Magnoliopsida; Malpighiales; Euphorbiaceae. The record is from RNAcentral.